GUUGUUUAUCUCUUGGCAAGUGCGUUUGUGUUGCAGGAUGUUCGGAGAUGGAUAUCUUUCCUAGCAAGCCAGAAAAUGUCUAUAGCUAAGAUGUGAUGUUGCAAUCAGCACAGUCUUCUCUUAAGAUUUAAAACAUGGAAAUUGCUGACUUUCUUCAUUCCCUCUGCCUUACCCGGACCAACAAGUGGAGGACGGCUGUACUUUUUUUUUUUUUUGCCCCGUUUGAACAGAAGAAAAGGAUAUUUACGUUGAAGAGACAACACGGAUAAACAAAGAAUUGCAUCCCCAUAAACUGUAUUUUAUUCAUACAUGAUGUAGGAAUAAUCGUCAUAACAAGAUCAUUUCAUACCUAUGAUGUUAAAUUAUUCUCAGUCAUACACCGGUUUACUUUAAACCGAAGUCGAUGACAUUUUUAAAGCAAGGUAACCUAGUUAAAAAAAUGUAAUUCUUCAAACAAUUAUUAUAAUUAUAAUAAGAAGAUUAAAAUUAGAACACAAAGGUC
Stylophora pistillata is the source of this 502-nucleotide long non-coding RNA. The record is from RefSeq and is a predicted model, not a curated record. NCBI's taxonomy places the organism in Eukaryota, Metazoa, Cnidaria, Anthozoa, Scleractinia, Pocilloporidae.